Molecule: long non-coding RNA, 841 nt
Filed under: Betta splendens (Siamese fighting fish)
Lineage: Eukaryota; Metazoa; Chordata; Actinopteri; Anabantiformes; Osphronemidae
Description: lncRNA (ENSBSLG00000014675.1)
Source: RNAcentral
UUAAUCCAAUACCAAAUUUUUUAAACAACAUUUAUUUAGUUACUAUUCAGGCAGAUGAACAAAUAAAAAUGAAAUACAUGAUGCAGCUUUCAAAAUAAACAUUUUAUCUAUUUAAACAGAAACUGUAUCUACAAGGGUUAAAUCUCAAAUUAUUCAGAAUAAGAUUCACACUGUUUGAUUAAUUGCUUUCCACAGCAAUGAAACGUCCCGAUUAUCCACGGGCAGUGUGCCUGCUCGCUGUUUGCGUUAUGACCCACUUCUACCUCCAAUUUCGAAAUACUUAGGCAAUGUAGGGCAGCAGUUAUGCAGCUCUAAAGCACUCAGCCAGCCAAACAAUGACACACAGUAACGCAGCGUCGUCGCAGAGUAUUUUAUCAAGGCAAUGAUUUGUUCCAGCAGGUACUGAGCCUGCAGGGACCAAAACAGAUGGAGAUUCGCGGAGAGCGGCGACAGUUUCUGUGGAGUUAGCAGCGCAUUGUUUGGCAGAGUGAAGCAAUGCAAGGGUCGAGGAAACACCCCACAAAACCAGGACAAAAAAAGAACCUGAAGAGCUGAUCCAGGUGUUCCACAGCUGGCUGGGCUCUGUUUCUGUGCCACCAAUCCCAGCAGUAUGUGAGAAAACAAGCCGUUUUCCGAGGUUUCCAGGAGCUCCUCUGAGUCUCCACCAGUCCCCCAUCCUCUCCCUUUCCCAACCUCUACCUGCUCCACUCCUCAUCCACCCACUGCUAAUAAAGCCCUGCUAGUUUUCACCCUGUGGCUCCAGGCUCAGUUUACUGGUCCAACCCUGUAGUUCAAGUAAACCUUUGGUCUGACUCCAGAUUUCAAAUUGUGGUGUAUAUCC